This 820-nucleotide ribosomal RNA is filed under the name uncultured Geobacter sp. Its description in RNAcentral is "bacterial SSU rRNA". It matches the Rfam family "Bacterial small subunit ribosomal RNA", at positions 36 to 840 of the family's 1533-position model. The record is from RNAcentral. Lineage: Bacteria; Pseudomonadati; Thermodesulfobacteriota; Desulfuromonadia; Geobacterales; Geobacteraceae.
CUGGGGGCUGCUACCAUGCAAGUCGAACGUGAUCCGCCCUUCGGGGUGGUGAAAGUGGCGCACGGGUGAGUAACGCGUGGAUAAUCUGCCCGAGGAUUUGGGAUAACAUCUCGAAAGGGGUGCUAAUACCGAAUAAGCCCACGGGGUCUACGGAUCUUGCGGGAAAAGGGGGGGACCUUCGGGCCUCCUGUCCUUGGAUGAGUCUGCGUACCAUUAGCUAGUUGGUGGGGUAAUGGCCUACCAAGGCGACGAUGGUUAGCUGGUCUGAGAGGAUGAUCAGCCACACUGGAACUGAGACACGGUCCAGACUCCUACGGGAGGCAGCAGUGGGGAAUUUUGCGCAAUGGGGGAAACCCUGACGCAGCAACGCCGCGUGGGUGAUGAAGGCCUUCGGGUCGUAAAGCUCUGUCUGGAGGGAAGAAAUGAUUGGGAGCUAAUACCUCUUGAUCUUGACGGUACCUCUGAAGGAAGCACCGGCUAACUCCGUGCCAGCAGCCGCGGUAAUACGGAGGGUGCAAGCGUUGUUCGGAAUUAUUGGGCGUAAAGCGCGUGUAGGCGGUCUUUUAAGUCUGAUGUGAAAGCCCCGGGCUCAACCUGGGAAGUGCAUUGGAAACUGGGAGGCUUGAGUACGGGAGAGGAGAGUGGAAUUCCUAGUGUAGGAGUGAAAUCCGUAGAUAUUAGGAGGAACACCGGUGGCGAAGGCGGCUCUCUGGACCGAUACUGACGCUGAGACGCGAAAGCGUGGGUAGCAAACAGGAUUAGAUACCCUGGUAGUCCACGCCGUAAACGAUGAGUACUAGUGUUGCGGGUAUUGACCCCU